RNAcentral lists this long non-coding RNA (2179 nucleotides) under Pan troglodytes (chimpanzee). RNAcentral's name for it is "lincRNA". Lineage: Eukaryota; Metazoa; Chordata; Mammalia; Primates; Hominidae. The record is from RNAcentral.
UAAAUUUAUGUAAUUUGACAAUUAAUCUACCUCAUGUGCUUGCAGAUAUGUAUUCAUUUCCUACCACCGUAGUGGAAGAAGACUAUCCCUAUCUUUACACUGAUAGCAUUUCCAACAGUAAGCUGUGAGAUUCUGCUUGAAAUCACCUCUCAAACAAAUAAAAAACAGACCUGGGAAACUGCUACACUCAUUCUGCUGAAGAAAUAGGCAUCAUACUGGGGAAACAGGGAUUCAAAAGACCCAGGCUGUUCCCUACAUAUGUUUCCUCCUCGACAUCAGUUCAUCAGUCAAUCAAGUCAUGUGAGAGUGGAGGCCUGUAUUCCCUAUUAUUUUGGGCACUCUCCUCCAAGGAGGAAAGGCCAGGAGGUCCUUUAGAGGAUGCACUCUGAGAGCCGGCUCCUAAGGUUGAGAGUUCUAACCAGCAGGUGUAGACUUUUCAGGAGUGAGGAAUGAGGCAGGCAUUCCAAACCGGACUUCAUACCUUUUGUUUCAUCUCAAGACAAUUCUGAGGGGCUGUUUUGGAGCGUGUCUGGAAGGUGAACGUUGAAGAAGAGUGUGGGCUUUGAUGUGACUCAGAUGAGAUCUUUCAUGGGGAGGCAGGAAUUCAAUGCCCAGAAUCUGGGCUGGUGUCUUUGAGGUCAGUAGGUUGCCUCUUUUAUCCAAGUCCAUUGUUACUAGGUUGGAGGCUGGAGAUUCUAAAUGGCUUCCAGACUGCCUCUCUGAUUCUCUUUGGGAGAUGGGGUCUGAAAAGACAAUGUCAGUAUUUUUGGGAAAUUCUAGAAAGUCUGCUUGGAAACGUGGGAAGAGCUCUUGCCUAGUGCCUAAAUGCUCCAUUUGCAGCUCUAGCCACGUAGAUGCUUGGUAGGUAUAGAGCUGGGUUUGCAUUUAUAUCAGCAAAACCUAUGUCAGAGUUGAAGAAGUAGUCAGGACAAAGUGUCUUGGUCCAGGCCGGGGAACAUCUUAAAAGCAAACUUCUAGCCUGCUGACUCUUGGCAAUGAGUGUUGGUCCUGGCUAAAGGCCUUGAAUGCAGCAUGAGCCAAUCCAUGAAUCCAACUUCUAUGGAGAAAUGUUAAUAUUUUUUCAGUUUGAAUCAAUCAGGGUGAAAUUACCUUGCUAUUGGUUUGCUUACUUUUUAUUAUUUCACAUAAAAUCUAAGACAAAAUACAUUAAAUGCUUAUUGACAUAUGUAUUUAUUCUUCACCUGGCUGAUAAUAUCUGCCUAAUUUUAAACUUUCUUCCAUUUUGUAGGUUUCAACUUAUUUUAUUGUAAGAUAUUGUUAAAUCUAAUACAGGCAUUGUCACUUUUACAUAUAAUUUUAUUUUAUUUCAUAUAUUUCCUAUUGGCUUUUUACAUUUAAAUUAUGGACCACUUCAUCAUAUAAAAAGCUUCAUUUAUAUUUAAACAGUAAGUCUUUGGGUUUUUUUGUCUUGUAAUUUCCAUAUUACAUAGUAAUGAGAUAAACAUUAAUGUUUUCAGGGUAUUUUAAAUUUUAGAUAAUUACUCAUUGUAUUCAUGUGAAAUUUGUUUUUACUGCAUGUGCGGGUUGGAGAACUGUUUUCACUUCUGAUUCAUCUUUACUCUUAUCUCCUCAGAACUCAUACCUCUUGUAGUUGGGGGAUUGCAGUUUAUAAUUCCAAUAAAUGGGGCAAAUUCAAUAAUAACAUAAUACAAAUGAGUUUGAAUGCAGGACAUGUCUUCAAAGCAUACACAACAUGGGCCUACAUAUGUAAACAAUAAUAAUUUAUAAGUUACAGUUUGGAUGGAAAGUAAAAGUACAGAAAAUUUGUUAAAGAAAUUAAAAUGGAGAUCACUUAUCAAUAAUCUCUGAGCAGACAAAAUUAGUUAGGUCUCAUAAGUGAUCUCAACCUUGCUUGAUUUGCAAAUACAAGCAAAACUUAAAUAUUUCUUGUAGCUGCCUAUUUAAAAAAGAGAAAUGAAGCUCAACCAAUCAGGAGUAGCCAACAACCUUAUAUAAAUAGAAACUGUCCAACAAGGUAAACAGACGAACAAAAAACAAUAAAAAAGUUGUGCUACCACCAAUCAAAUGAUUUCUUUGUUUCUACAUUUUUCGAAUAAAUACUUGCUUCUUACUCUGUCAGUGAAGCACUAAAUAUCUUUUGAUCUGAUAUUUUAUAAUUUAUCAAUUGCUCUUACUCAAAUAAACACUUUGCAAUUUC